Molecule: unclassified non-coding RNA, 714 nt
Filed under: Hevea brasiliensis (rubber tree)
Lineage: Eukaryota; Viridiplantae; Streptophyta; Magnoliopsida; Malpighiales; Euphorbiaceae
Source: RNAcentral
UUACAAUUUUUUAUAUGAAAUUCAAGUUUAUAAUUUGUAAUUGUUAAAUAAAACUACUUUAGUAAUGAUAGCUUGAUAUUGUGACAUAUUUGUUUGUGGCCUCAAUGUGAGGUGUUAAUUUAAUUUCUGAAGGUAGGCCUGAGAAAGAGGAUAACAGAAAUCCGUGCAUGAAAAAAUAGCUGCAUUGAUACUCUAUAAUGAUUUACUUACUAAUAGAUGUUAAGAAACUGCUUCUUGGAGGGAGAUCUCAUCCAAAAAAGUGUUUUCUGGAGCUCUUGAUUCUUUUUCUUUUGUUUGAUUUGAAGUUGACUGAAUAAUAAUAUUUCAUGCUUUAAGAUGGUAAAUGUGAGAUUGAGGCAGGUGCUGCAAUCUUAUUCCAUUAAAGUUAAGCUGCUAUGUCUACUCAACACUUGGGAAUCUAAAAUUCUAGAUACUUUUAUGUGGAACCUGUUUGGUGCAUCUGAUCUUCAAAGGUUGAUUCUUCAUAGAAAAAGAAUAAAGACCAUAGGUGGGCCUUGCCUGAUAAUUGGUUUGCUUUAUUCUUCUGGUAUCCAUUCAUUACUUAGCUUUUAUGGAUAUGGUCUGUUCCCACCAUAUGUUUUGCAUGGUUUGCUGUUGUUUUUGACCUUUUUCCCACUUUUAGUUAGUUUUUAUUUUAUAAGUUUGUUGUGGGGAAAUUUUUAUCUUAUUAUUUCACAAUGAUUGAUACAAGAU